UUUUUUUUAAUGAACAGUAACUGAACCCCACUUUCCUCGUUCGGAUAAACACGAUCUCCACCGCUUCUCUCGUGCGCUACACGUGUCCUAUGGAGUCGUAGAGGCAGGGGCUAUUUGGUGCAAUAUUUUCGCGCCAAUAGUUACCACAUGUCUAUAAAUAUGUCCCCAUCUCCCUCGUUAAAACCUUCCUUGUUCCUUCGCCCUCCUUCUAUAGCAAAGCUCC
This 223-nucleotide long non-coding RNA is filed under the name Hordeum vulgare. RNAcentral describes it as "long non-coding RNA (HVUL_LNC008800)". The record is from RNAcentral. Lineage: Eukaryota; Viridiplantae; Streptophyta; Magnoliopsida; Poales; Poaceae.